AGAUAUAUGUUGUUGGGCUCCA
This 22-nucleotide non-coding RNA is filed under the name Arabidopsis thaliana (thale cress). The record is from RNAcentral. Lineage: Eukaryota; Viridiplantae; Streptophyta; Magnoliopsida; Brassicales; Brassicaceae.